Molecule: long non-coding RNA, 978 nt
Organism: Lagopus leucura (white-tailed ptarmigan)
Lineage: Eukaryota; Metazoa; Chordata; Aves; Galliformes; Phasianidae
Exons: 4
Source: RefSeq, a predicted model, not a curated record
AAUAGAAUGUAUAAAUGAGAAAAAAGAAGGACAAGGGAACUUAAUAGCAAUGUCUGUCUGCAAUGGCAACACUUGCAUCAACGGGAAAAGCUAAAAGCCAGGAAGAUUUGUAAGAUGGAGAGAUUGGUGAAGACAUGGUGAUUCUAAGACAGAUGUGUUAAGCUCUCCUUUGCUUCUGACUGUAAAAUGGAUCGGAAAGGACUUCUCAUACCUUGAAUUGUUUAGAUAUUCAGGAUCUAUAUCCUUGUUUUGCCAUUCAUCACUGUGGAACAGAUAUCUUCUUUGGAGAAGAUGGCCCAGUACUUUCCACUGAGCAGGCAAGUAUAACUGCAGCCGCAUAGGUGAGACUGAGCAUUCCUAUGCGCUCCUACUUGUCUCCGGCUGAACUCACAGGGAGCUGUCUAGAGCCAUGGAAAUGGAUUGACGAAUGCAACAGUCCUUAGGUUCUAGCUGAGCCCUCAAAUUAUGAAGUAAGGACACGAUGCAAACUUCUUAGUCUCUGCAGCAUGUGUACGCCAAGAAAACAAUCAAGACCCAUGGGAAUACCUAAAGGAACUAGAACAGUUUGGCUCAGUUUCAGUAUUGAGUGCAUGAAUGCUUUACCCCAAGAAUAAAAAGUGUAAGACAAUAAAUCUCUAGGGCAGCUGUGACAAUUCUUUGCAAGAACAUGAAGGUCUGAACAUUGUAGUUGCAACCAAAAAGCUUGAAAAAAACAACAAACUAUUAGAUGUCCCCAUUAAUGGAGCAGGAUCUCAUGACAGCUACAGAUCUGUUGUGAUUAAGAUGAAGUAAGGCAGAGUGUUUUUGAUUCACCAGAUGAACCAUUUACCCACAAGCACUAGGAAAAUGUAAUGUCUGAGACAGAAGAGUCCUCCUGCAAAUGCAGGAUGAAGACAUAAGGACUCUCUGCUGUGGCAGAUAUAAAAUCUGUGAGUGCAACCAGUACAUGCAGUCUCUACAAAAGAUAGAGGAUUUACA